GCGCUGUUAGCUCAGUUGGUUUAGAGCGCUUGUCUUACAAACAAGAGGUCGGGGGUUCGAGGCCCUCACGGCGCACCA
Molecule: transfer RNA, 78 nt
Filed under: Patescibacteria group bacterium
Lineage: Bacteria
Description: tRNA-Val
Rfam family: tRNA
About the family: Transfer RNA (tRNA) molecules are approximately 80 nucleotides in length. Their secondary structure includes four short double-helical elements and three loops (D, anti-codon, and T loops). Further hydrogen bonds mediate the characteristic L-shaped molecular structure. tRNAs have two regions of fundamental functional importance: the anti-codon, which is responsible for specific mRNA codon recognition, and the 3' end, to which the tRNAs corresponding amino acid is attached (by aminoacyl-tRNA synthetases). tRNAs cope with the degeneracy of the genetic code in two manners: having more than one tRNA (with a specific anti-codon) for a particular amino acid; and 'wobble' base-pairing, i.e. permitting non-standard base-pairing at the 3rd anti-codon position.
Source: RNAcentral